GACGAACGCUGGCGGCGUGCUUAACACAUGCAAGUCGAACGGAAAGGCCCUGCUUUUGUGGGGUGCUCGAGUGGCGAACGGGUGAGUAACACGUGAGUAACCUGCCCUUGACUUUGGGAUAACUUCAGGAAACUGGGGCUAAUACCGGAUAGGAUCUCCUGCUGCAUGGUGGGGGUUGGAAAGUUUCGGCGGUUGGGGAUGGACUCGCGGCUUAUCAGCUUGUUGGUGGGGUAGUGGCUUACCAAGGCUUUGACGGGUAGCCGGCCUGAGAGGGUGACCGGCCACAUUGGGACGGAGAUACGGCCCAGACUCCUACGGGAGGCAGCAGUGGGGAAUAUUGCACAAUGGGCGGAAGCCUGAUGCAGCAACGCCGCGUGCGGGAUGACGGCCUUCGGGUUGUAAACCGCUUUCGCCUGUGACGAAGCGUGAGUGACGGUAAUGGGUAAAGAAGCACCGGCUAACUACGUG
RNAcentral lists this ribosomal RNA (468 nucleotides) under uncultured bacterium. RNAcentral's name for it is "partial 16S ribosomal RNA". It matches the Rfam family "Bacterial small subunit ribosomal RNA", at positions 28 to 507 of the family's 1533-position model. The record is from RNAcentral.